This 497-nucleotide ribosomal RNA is filed under the name uncultured bacterium. Its description in RNAcentral is "partial 16S ribosomal RNA". It matches the Rfam family "Bacterial small subunit ribosomal RNA", at positions 28 to 507 of the family's 1533-position model. The record is from RNAcentral.
GACGAACGCUGGCGGCGUGCCUAAUACAUGCAAGUUGAGCGCUGAAGGUUGGUACUUGUACCGACUGGAUGAGCAGCGAACGGGUGAGUAACGCGUGGGGAAUCUGCCUUUGAGCGGGGGACAACAUUUGGAAACGAAUGCUAAUACCGCAUAAAAACUUUAAACACAAGUUUUAAGUUUGAAAGAUGCAAUUGCAUCACUCAAAGAUGAUCCCGCGUUGUAUUAGCUAGUUGGUGAGGUAAAGGCUCACCAAGGCGAUGAUACAUAGCCGACCUGAGAGGGUGAUCGGCCACAAUGGGACUUAGACACGGCCCAAACUCCUACGGGGAGCAGCAGUAGGGAAUCUUCGGCAAUGGACGAAAGUCUGACCGAGCAACGCCGCGUGAGUGGAGAAAGUUUUCGGAUCGUAAAACUCUGUUGGUAGGGAAGAACGUUGGUGAGAGUGGAAAGCUCAUCAAGUGACGGUAACUACCCAGAAAGGGACGGCUAACUACGUG